AACGAACGCUGGCGGCAUGCCUAACACAUGCAAGUCGAACGAAGCCUUCGGGCUUAGUGGCGCACGGGUGCGUAACGCGUGGGAAUCUGCCCUUGGGUUCGGAAUAACAGUUAGAAAUGACUGCUAAUACCGAAUGAUGUCUUCGGACCAAAGAUUUAUCGCCCAAGGAUGAGCCUGCGUCGGAUUAGCUGGUUGGUGAGGUAAAGGCUCACCAAGGCGACGAUCCGUAGCUGGUCUGAGAGGAUGAUCAGCCACACUGGGACUGAGACACGGCCCAGACUCCUACGGGAGGCAGCAGUGGGGAAUAUUGGACAAUGGGCGAAAGCCUGAUCCAGCAAUGCCGCGUGAGUGAUGAAGGCCUUAGGGUUGUAAAGCUCUUUUACCCGGGAUGAUAAUGACAGUACCGGGAGAAUAAGCUCCGGCUAACUCCGUGCCAGC
RNAcentral lists this ribosomal RNA (438 nucleotides) under uncultured bacterium. RNAcentral's name for it is "bacterial SSU rRNA". It matches the Rfam family "Bacterial small subunit ribosomal RNA", at positions 29 to 512 of the family's 1533-position model. The record is from RNAcentral.